Long non-coding RNA from Anopheles coluzzii, 274 nucleotides. RefSeq lists it as uncharacterized. NCBI's taxonomy places the organism in Eukaryota, Metazoa, Arthropoda, Insecta, Diptera, Culicidae. The record is from RefSeq and is a predicted model, not a curated record. The transcript is spliced from 3 exons.
CUGCAGUUUGUUUUGUUACAUGAUCUACGGCUAUUUCAUUACCAAAGCACCUGAUAACCGAUCAAAGAAGGUGAAUCGGGCUUACAGAGUCGCCGUUUAACUUCAAAUAUCUUCGUGAUCGGAAAACGCAUCAAACAACAAGUGUUUUUCUUCCAACAGCACGCUCCAUCGGUGGAGCAAGCAGCCAACGAUUUGAUCGCCAGUACGCGCCAUCAAGAAUUGAUAUUUUGCCAAACAGUACUGUGAAUAAAAAACUGCACACUUACUGUCGGAA